RNAcentral lists this ribosomal RNA (465 nucleotides) under Vreelandella stevensii. RNAcentral describes it as "partial 16S ribosomal RNA". It matches the Rfam family "Bacterial small subunit ribosomal RNA", at positions 338 to 795 of the family's 1533-position model. Lineage: Bacteria; Pseudomonadati; Pseudomonadota; Gammaproteobacteria; Oceanospirillales; Halomonadaceae. The record is from RNAcentral.
CCUACGGGGGGCAGCAGUGGGGAAUAUUGGACAAUGGGGGGAACCCUGAUCCAGCCAUGCCGCGUGUGUGAAGAAGGCCCUCGGGUUGUAAAGCACUUUCAGUGAGGAAGAACGCCUGGUGGUUAAUACCCAUCAGGAAAGACAUCACUCACAGAAGAAGCACCGGCUAACUCCGUGCCAGCAGCCGCGGUAAUACGGAGGGUGCGAACGUUAAUCGGAAUUACUGGGCGUAAAGCGCGCGUAGGUGGCUUGAUAAGCCGGUUGUGAAAGCCCCGGGCUCAACCUGGGAACGGCAUCCGGAACUGUCAAGCUAGAGUGCAGGAGAGGAAGGUAGAAUUCCCGGUGUAGCGGUGAAAUGCGUAGAGAUCGGGAGGAAUACCAGUGGCGAAGGCGGCCUUCUGGACUGACACUGACACUGAGGUGCGAAAGCGUGGGUAGCAAACAGGAUUAGAUACCCCUGUAGUC